Molecule: non-coding RNA, 173 nt
Filed under: Acidobacteriota bacterium
Lineage: Bacteria; Pseudomonadati; Acidobacteriota
Description: Acidobacteria bacterium (anaerobic digester metagenome) 6S RNA
Rfam family: 6S / SsrS RNA
About the family: E. coli 6S RNA was the first non coding RNA to be sequenced, but its function was unknown until recently.
Source: RNAcentral
GACCUGCAACGCGUGCGGGGUGAUUCCAAUUGGGUCUGCGAUGAGAAUGGACGGGAGUUUAGAGUUUCGGCACGGUGUGCAAGCCUUCUGCGGGAAGGAAGCCUGAAGUGCUGAACAGACACCCACUUUGAACUGCCGGACCACAACGAUUCGCCCCGCACCGUUGCAGCUUU